Gossypium raimondii (Peruvian cotton) is the source of this 102-nucleotide non-coding RNA. NCBI's taxonomy places the organism in Eukaryota, Viridiplantae, Streptophyta, Magnoliopsida, Malvales, Malvaceae. The record is from Rfam.
AGUCCAUGUUGUAGGCACUUAGCAUUUUCUUGAAACACUCCCAUGCCUCUUACAUGGAUUCACCUUUAAAUUAUUUAAAAUUAGUAAUCUUCCAAUUAGGGU